Molecule: ribosomal RNA, 301 nt
Filed under: uncultured bacterium
Lineage: Bacteria
Description: partial 16S ribosomal RNA
Rfam family: Bacterial small subunit ribosomal RNA
Source: RNAcentral
CAGUAGCCGCGGUAAUACGAAGGGUGCAAGCGUUAAUCGGAAUUACUGGGCGUAAAGCGUGCGUAGGCGGUGAGUUAAGUCUGCUGUGAAAUCCCCGGGCUCAACCUGGGAAUUGCAGUGGAUACUGGGUCACUAGAGUGUGGUAGAGGAUAGUGGAAUUUCCGGUGUAGCAGUGAAAUGCGUAGAGAUCGGAAGGAACAUCUGUGGCGAAGGCGACUAUCUGGGCCAACACUGACACUGAGGCACGAAAGCGUGGGGAGCAAACAGGAUUAGAUACCCCUGUAGUCCCUGUCUCUUAUAC